Molecule: ribosomal RNA, 497 nt
Filed under: uncultured bacterium
Lineage: Bacteria
Description: partial 16S ribosomal RNA
Rfam family: Bacterial small subunit ribosomal RNA
Source: RNAcentral
ACUCAAAGGAAUUGACGGGGGCCCGCACAAGCGGUGGAGUAUGUGGUUUAAUUCGAUGCAACGCGAAGAACCUUACCUACUCUUGACAUGGUGGGAAUCUGGCAGAGAUGCUGGAGUGCCGAAAGGAACCCACACACAGGUGCUGCAUGGCUGUCGUCAGCUCGUGUCGUGAGAUGUUGUCUUAAGUGACGCAACGAGCGCAACCCUUGCCCUUAGUUACCAUCAUUCAGUUGGGGACUCUAAGGGGACUGCUGGUCUAUGACCGGAGGAAGGGGGGGAUGACGUCAAGUCAUCAUGGCCCUUACGAGUAGGGCUACACACGUACUACAAUGGUCGGUACAGAGGGAUGCAAUAUCGCGAGAUGGAGCGAAUCCCAGAAAGCUGAUCGUAGUCCGGAUUGAAGUCUGCAACUCGACUUCAUGAAGCCGGAAUCGCUAGUAAUCGCAGAUCAGAAUGCUGCGGUGAAUACGUUCCCGGGCCUUGCACACACCGCCCGU